CAGAAGAUCCCCCUUUUAUGACGUCUAAAAAUGCCCAAGUUGCAGAAAUUAUCCCACGCCGCAGCCGUCGAAUUGCUGGCGUGGGAGUUGAAUUUGACAACAUGGAUUUAUCCUCAAGAACCACAAAGAAAGUUAUGCAGGCCUUGAAAGUAAUUGGGGAUCCUGGGGCAGUCACCCAGCAAGCCAAAGAAGACUAUCUGAAAGUAUUCUCCACUGAACUUCCUAUUUCACAUAUUGAAGCGCUGGCGUCCUUUUUUGGAUGGGUGGUACCAGAUGAUCUCAAGGUGGGCAGCAUUAGUGUUGGCAUUAGUGCCUGUUGAGUUGUCCUGUAGAGGUCGCUGAUGUAAGAGGUUUGUAAUGGAUCCAAAAA
Molecule: unclassified non-coding RNA, 370 nt
Filed under: Zea mays
Lineage: Eukaryota; Viridiplantae; Streptophyta; Magnoliopsida; Poales; Poaceae
Description: misc RNA Zm00001eb331660
Source: RNAcentral